Molecule: small RNA, 130 nt
Filed under: unclassified sequences
Description: LOOT RNA
Rfam family: LOOT RNA
About the family: Latescibacteria, OD1/Parcubacteria, OP11, TM7. Lineage (Microgenomates, aka OP11)
Source: Rfam by way of RNAcentral
GACCUAAAACCAUUUUGCCAGCGUCGGCAAAAUGGUCAUGGUCAAAAUCGCACCAAAGUAAAGAUCCCAUCAUCAGGAUCCGCUUUGGUGCGUCAUAUUGGGAAACCAAUAUGUGAGUUUGAAAAGACUC